CGAUCACUCAGACAAGACAGCAAGUGUGGUUAUAUAGCAGCUUUAUUUUUCAGCAUCACAGUGAGCAGAGUUUCAGAAAAACAGGCAAUCAAUAUUACAUGACAGCGUCAGGGCUCUUCUGAACCCCGUCUGUUGGGUGGGGCAAAUUUUUAUACCCCUAGAAUGCGUGAUUUAAUAUCAUUAUGAAAUGCAACAUUCAACAAUUUUAUUUUACACAAUCCUUGAGCCCCUUAU
Erpetoichthys calabaricus (reedfish) is the source of this 234-nucleotide long non-coding RNA. RefSeq lists it as uncharacterized. The record is from RefSeq and is a predicted model, not a curated record. The transcript has 2 exons. Lineage: Eukaryota; Metazoa; Chordata; Cladistia; Polypteriformes; Polypteridae.